UACGAAGGGGGCUAGCGUUGUUCGGAAUCACUGGGCGUAAAGCGCACGUAGGCGGAUCUUUAAGUCAGGGGUGAAAUCCCGAGGCUCAACCUCGGAACUGCCUUUGAUACUGGGGAUCUCGAGUCCGGGAGAGGUGAGUGGAACUGCGAGUGUAGAGGUGAAAUUCGUAGAUAUUCGCAAGAACACCGGUGGCGAAGGCGGCAUCCUGGACCGAGAUUGACGCUGAGGCGCGAAAGCCAGGGGAGCAAAGCGGG
RNAcentral lists this ribosomal RNA (254 nucleotides) under uncultured bacterium. RNAcentral describes it as "partial 16S ribosomal RNA". It matches the Rfam family "Bacterial small subunit ribosomal RNA", at positions 524 to 777 of the family's 1533-position model. The record is from RNAcentral.